Non-coding RNA from Nicotiana tabacum (common tobacco), 1265 nucleotides. The record is from RefSeq and is a predicted model, not a curated record. Lineage: Eukaryota; Viridiplantae; Streptophyta; Magnoliopsida; Solanales; Solanaceae.
ACUGACAUCGGUUGCUUAGCCUUACGUUGCCCUUCCAAAGAACAUCAGGAAGGCGUUGCGUAACAGUAGUGUUGUGUAAAGCUUGACUUCAAGCCAUCAGUGAAGGGGGAUGCUCUGUAUACUCACUAUAUGUUAAUCAUCUAUGUUAUUCACAUUCUAUGAUUUUAGUAUGAUUAAGCUAAUCUUCACCUAAAUAUCUUCAUUAUUAUCGCACGAGCCCAUGACAGUUGACUAUCUUGGCUGAUUGAUGGUUACAGAUUUCUUAAAUAGAUGAUCUGCAUAUAGAACAACUUAUUCUCCUGUUUUACAGUUUGUUUAAUUCCUUGAACAAUUAAAAAUGUGCCGAGAAAUCUCUAAUCUACAAUAACUUUUGUAGAUAUUUAAUAUUUUGUAUUUGAAGAAGCGUCACAAAGCUUGCUUCAGUUUAUUGAUUUAUUUUGAUUUUAUCCUUGGAUUGUUGACUGCAUUUUUGUUGACUCCUAAAAAUUGAUGGAUUUUGCUCGCAUCAUGCAAUAUUUUAGUCUAAUCUUUGUAGAGGAUGAUUUUUCUUAGAUUAUAAGAUCUUUUAUUUUUGAUUUAUGAAGUCUUGUCUACCCUUAGGGGAUAUUAUGUGUACAAUAACUGAAUUGACUGAUUAAAUCUUUGUUUUCUCAACUUCUUUCUAAAGCACCCUUUUAUGUGCUUUACCUUUUCCGCCUACAUGAUUAUAGUCUUAGAGACAAUUUCUUUGUUAUAGUUUCCUGGUUUUCCUUAUUUAACAUGGUAUAAAUUCUGUUCUUUUACUAUUUGUUAUGCUGGUUCAUUUGUCUCCAAUCUGUAUUAAGUUUUAGCUGUAUGAGAUACAUUACAUCAUUGUUUGUCGUUUGUUUUGGCAGAGAUAAGUAGAUGUUGGAGAUUGAUUCAUACAGGCGUCUGACGUUCCUAAAUGGUUCGUGAGUUUCUUUUGCAGGAAUUAAGGUUCUCUUUCCUUCACUGAGUUCCUUAUCUGGAUGUAGAUCACUCACCUAAUUGGAGAAAUUUUGUCCUACGUUUACCUGUAUUCACCUUUUCGUGGUAUGCUGCUUACUUGAUGCGAUCCGCAGCACAUGAGAUCUUGUACUCUUAUCAGAUGCUUGUAUCUGUCUUUGUAUCUUCGUCAUUUUCGGACAGACCUUGUAUUUAGUGGAGAUCUUGUACUCUUAUUAGAUGAUUGUGAGUUGUGACUAGCUGUGACACCCAUGUUUUGGGAGAGUUUAUGAGACAAUUUUGGUUUUGUGUGGACCCUA